CUAAAACGCACCCUUUAAAAGCUUUUAUUUUUUAGUUUUAUGUUUUUUAUUUUAUUUUAUUUUUUUAAAAAUUUCAUUUCUAACCUUGGAUGAGGCGCAAGCACUGGGCGGCCGCCCAGGGCGGAUGUUGAACGCCCGCGUAGGCGGGUGCCAUAAUACCUAGGCCGGCGCUCAAAAACUACCGCCCGCUGCCUAGUUUGACUGCCUAGGCGUGAGCGAUGCGCCCAAGCCUUCUGGACCAUCAAGCGGCCGGGUAAGUGUUGGACGGUCCACAUUUUGAAACAAUAUUUUUAUUGUGUUUUUUAAUAUUUUAAUAUAAUAGUGCAAAAUUUAUCUUGCUAGUUAAAAGAAAAACUGCCACCAUAUCAGAUCCUGAUCUAUGUUAUGCUCAUUUCUAUAAUGGUUUUAGGUUCCACUUCGACCCAAAAUUUUAGGAUAUUAGUGUCUGCCUACAAGAGGAGGAUGCAUUGCAGAAGCUACGAAUUUUUUUGAAUGUAUGAUUCUUUGGUGGUAUGGAUUUGGAAAAUAAUUUAAACUGUUUUGGAUGUAUAGUUGGAAAAUAAUUUGAAGAUGGCAUUUUUGUGUUUUAGGUUCCACCUUGACCCAUUACGCGGAAUUUCAAGACAUUGACAUGUGCUUACAAGAGGAGUACGCACUACAGAAGCUUUCAAGAUAUUGACUCGUGCUUACAUGAGGAGUACGCACUCCAGAAACUCUAAACUGUUUUAGAUAGAUGAUUAUUUAGUGAUAUGGGAUUGGAAAAUAAUUCGGAGCGGGUAUAUUUGUCUCAGAGGAAAAAAUCAAAAGGUAUAGACUCCACAUUCUGUGUACUCUCGUGGGAAACAACCACACUAACCUUAUGUAAAAAAGUCUAUAUAUCCUAACCUGUUAUUGAGUGUACAAAAGUCUGGCACAGUGUAAAAAGUCUUUACAUUGUAUGAACCUUACGUAGAAAGUUAAACUUUAUGUGGAGAGUGAUGGUUUUGUUGCUAACUUUAUAAUUUGACUGAUAAGUUGAUAUUACACUUAUAAUGGAAUAAUAAUUGACUAAUAUUCAAAGUUGACAUGCAAUCGAUAAUAAUAUUAAGUAAAUUGCUGCUUGGAGCAAUACAACGUGUUAUUUUUG
This 1126-nucleotide long non-coding RNA is filed under the name Amborella trichopoda. RNAcentral describes it as "long non-coding RNA (ATRI_LNC003484)". Lineage: Eukaryota; Viridiplantae; Streptophyta; Magnoliopsida; Amborellales; Amborellaceae. The record is from RNAcentral.